CGGCGCCAAAAUCGAACCCGCCCGGGCCCGCCCCGCCCCUCGCCUCGCGCGCAGGCCCGGCCGCCGGAAGACCCGCCGCCCGCGUCAUGUCAAAGAAAAAAGGACUGAGUGCAGAGGAGAAGAGAGCCCGCAUGAUGGAAAUAUUUUUUGAGACGAAAGAUGUGUUCCAACUAAAAGACAUGGAGAAGAUUGCUCCCAAAGAGAAAGGCAUUACUGCUAUGUCAGUGAAAGAAGUCCUUCAAAGCUUAGUUGAUGAUGGUAUGGUUGACUGUGAGAGGAUUGGAACAUCGAAUUAUUACUGGGCUUUUCCAAGUAAAGCUCUUCAUGCAAGGAAACGCAAGUUGGAGGUUCUGGAAUCUCAGUUAUCUGAGGGAAACCAAAAGCACACAAAUCUACAGAAAAGCAUUGAGAAAGCUAAAAUUGGCCGACAUGAAACGGAAGAGCGAACCAUGCUAGCAAAAGAACUUUCUUCACUUCGAGACCAAAGGGAACAGCUAAAGGCAGAAGUAGAAAAGUACAAAGAAUGUGACCCACAAGUUGUGGAAGAAAUACGUCAAGCAAAUAAAGUAGCCAAAGAAGCUGCUAACAGAUGGACUGGAUCGCCAAGGAAAGGAACGGGAUGGCUCCCUGUAGUUUCAUUCCACAAGUUAGUUGUCCACUGAUGCUUCCAUGAAUAAAGCUGGAAGGAAGAUCUCACUUUGGGAGUAGAGCAAAGAGGACCUGGAAGGAGAAAAAACGGGAAUGAAGAAGCCCCAAGAAUUCCUAUGCCUGGACUCCGUUCUUUGGGACAUUUUUGCCUGAUGUAAAGAAACAUUGUCCCACCCAACCAACUUUACUGAUGUGCUACUCCCCAGCCUUAACUGGAAUUCCAUAUAGAAGCAGCCAAGAAGGCACUGACCAUCCAUUACAUCCUAUGGCUCUGCAUCUGGAUUCAAGUCCAAGGCUUACCUGAUGGCGGCAAACCUCUGGGCAUCACAUCUAUAUACAAGCAGGAAGAAGGACACAGAGUAAAAGACCUGUCCUAGCUGAGCUUAUUCCUUUUCAUCAUGAAGACAAGAGCUUUCUCUGAAGCCAUGCCUGUAGAGGUCUGUUUAUAUCUCACUGACCAGAAAUAAGCCAAACAGCCAUGCCAAAUUACAAGGGAGACGGGGAAGAUGACAACUUUUUGGUUUUUGUUACAUUUUGUUUUGCUUACUUUUUUGUUUUUCACUCAUGUAUCAUUCAUUUAAUCAUAUUUAAGCCUUUAGUGUAAUCACAUUUAAGGCAUCCUGUAUAAAUCACAUUCUAAGCUACCUUUAAAAAUUUUGUCUUUAGGGUGCCUGGGUGGCUCAGUUGUUAAGCGUCUGCCUUCGGCUCAGGUCAUGAUCCCAGGGUCCUGGGAUUGAGCCCCACGUCGGGCUCCCUGCUCUGCAGGAAGCCUGCUUCUCCCUCUCUCACUCCCCCUGCUUGUGUUCCUGCUCUCGCUGCGUCUCUCUCUGUCAAAUAAAUAAAAUCUUUAUUUUGUCUUUAA
This is an RNA transcript of Mirounga angustirostris (Northern elephant seal), 1510 nucleotides long. It is a transcript of the gene named meiotic nuclear divisions 1, with no coding region annotated. The record is from RefSeq and is a predicted model, not a curated record. The transcript is spliced from 9 exons. Lineage: Eukaryota; Metazoa; Chordata; Mammalia; Carnivora; Phocidae.